Papilio polytes (common Mormon) is the source of this 245-nucleotide long non-coding RNA. RefSeq lists it as uncharacterized. The transcript has 3 exons. The record is from RefSeq and is a predicted model, not a curated record. NCBI's taxonomy places the organism in Eukaryota, Metazoa, Arthropoda, Insecta, Lepidoptera, Papilionidae.
GUGGGCGACGGACGUGUUAUUAUAUUAGAACAAUCGACUUUUAUUCGAGUAAAUUAAUCAAUUAGGUUGUGAUACAAGUGAAAGAGGGUGAAUAUUAAAAAUAAAAGAGGCUCUUUCCAGAGGGUUGCGCCAGGAUAAAGAAAGUAUGAAAAUGCGAGCGUAUAGUAAGUCGUGACGUCAGAAAGUCGCUGAGACCACUUCACGUCGUUCACUAAAACAAGAUGGCCGACCCUGAUGCCUUCGAU